Molecule: non-coding RNA, 105 nt
Organism: Halorubrum sp. J07HR59
Lineage: Archaea; Methanobacteriati; Methanobacteriota; Halobacteria; Halobacteriales; Haloferacaceae
Source: Rfam
GGGCGCGUAGCUCAGCCCGGAUAGAGCGUCGGACUUCUAUCCUGGAGAGGGUCUCUCUCGAGGGAAGCCAUCCGACGGUCGUGGGUUCGAAUCCCACCGCGCCCG